CCACUCAGUCGCCCCGCCACA
Molecule: microRNA, 21 nt
Filed under: Mus musculus (house mouse)
Lineage: Eukaryota; Metazoa; Chordata; Mammalia; Rodentia; Muridae
Description: mmu-miR-7687-3p
Source: miRBase by way of RNAcentral